AGACAAGAAUUCUCACUCUGUAGCUAUUGAAGUGGGAAAAUCUGAGAACUCAGCAUUUGGUCAGAAAGAUGGUAGAAACUACAUUGCUGAGGUGGGACAAUUUAGACUUAGGAUUGGAGAUGCAGAUGUACUUUGUAAUUACUUUGUUCGAAUGCAAAGAAGGAACUCAAAUUUCUUUUAUGUGAUUGGCAUGGAUGAGGAAGGACAGUUGCAGAAUGUAUUUUGGGCUAAUGCAAGGUCUAGAGCAGCUUAUGAGUCAUUUGGAGAUGUGUUAUUCUUUGAUAUCUUACUGAUGAGUAUGAUUUGCCACUUACUCCUUUUGUUGGAGUUAACCACCAUGGGCAGUCUAUUCUAUUCGGAUGUGGUUUGCUAUCAAGAGAGGAUGUAGGCGCAUAUGUUUGGCUAUUUAGAUCGUGGCUGGAAUGCAUGCAUGGGGCGUCCUCCAAUUGCUAUAAUCACUGACCAAUGUAAAAUGAUCCAAGGUGCAGUCGUGGAAGGGUUUCCAAGUUCUCAUCAUCUGCUUUGCCUUUGGCACAUAAUGAAGAAGCUUCCUGAAAAAUUUGGAGGUCUAGUUCAAUACAAGGCAAUAUAAAAAAUUCUAAAAGGUACUGUUUAAGAAUCUUUGAAUCCUCAAGAAUUUGAAGAAAGUUGGUUCAAAAUGAUUGAAGAAUUUAAUUUUGAAAAGAAUGAAUGGUUGAGUUCCUUAUUUGCUGAUCAUCACCGUUGGGUUUGUAUUUUUGUCAAAAAGGUAUUUUGGGCAGGGUUGUCUACAAUGCAAAGAAAUGAAAGUGUGGAUGCAGUUUUUUGAUGAUUAUGUAACGUCAAAAACUUCAUUGAAGCAAUUUGUUGAGCAAUAUGAUAAUGCCUUGAAAAGCAAAGUUGAGAAGGAGAAUAAGUCAAAAACAGUGAUGCCCUAACAACUGGCAAAUGACUAACUCCCUUGCGAGGUCAAAGCAAAGGUUGCCCCCCAUCCAAAAAGAAUUUAAGAUAGAUAAACGCUUUGCAGGGAAAUUUCAGAAAAAAGAGUGAGCAAAUUGACUUAGCCAUGCAAAAUAAGAGGCAGACAGAGAUCAACCAUGUGAAACCUAGUGCUGCAGAAGCAUAUAAACCCAGCUCUUCCGUUCAUUCACCGAUCAGCUGUUUUAUGUUUCAAGAUGGCGAAGGGGCAAGGGCAACCGCAAGAAAUGGCAUUAUUGCUGGAGGAAUGAGUUCAGAGGAGAAAUUGAGUAAAUGAGCCAUCAGAUUGAACCAUACAGUCCUAGAUUCCCUGAGAGAGCAGUAGAUCGUGCUCAUUCAUGUUUAUGCAGAACAUCUUGAUAGCCAAUGUAUGGUAGUAGAUGAAUGCGAUGUUUACUUUGGAGAGUCGCUACUGUUCUCUCCUCAAAAAAUUGAAUUCUUUUUCUUUUGUCCUAUGUUCUUCAACAUCUCGUUUAUGUAACAGCAAUUCUUGACAACUGCAUGGAUCAAGACAAUUGUUGUGGUACUAUAAUCACGGGAUUAUCAAUCAAAUAUUGGUUAAUUGUACA
RNA transcript from Eucalyptus grandis, 1526 nucleotides. RefSeq lists it as uncharacterized. The record is from RefSeq and is a predicted model, not a curated record. The transcript is spliced from 5 exons. Lineage: Eukaryota; Viridiplantae; Streptophyta; Magnoliopsida; Myrtales; Myrtaceae.